Molecule: long non-coding RNA, 874 nt
Organism: Triticum aestivum (bread wheat)
Lineage: Eukaryota; Viridiplantae; Streptophyta; Magnoliopsida; Poales; Poaceae
Exons: 5
Source: RefSeq, a predicted model, not a curated record
GUACUAGUUUGGAACUGUAUCUAACUGAUACUAUACAAAAUUUCAGCAGAUCGACAGGGGUGCGGGGUUCAGUUCGACGAUGACGAGCCAGGCAGCCGGCCUUUGCAUCAUGAACUGGCGUAGUUUGAUCUUGCCCGGUGCUGGCCCUGCACAAAUGGCAUCUUCAGCUCACCACGCUAGCUCCGCCGAUCAUCUUACAUGUCAAGCACCAGACCGACACCACGGCUUCUGCUGGUGGUGCUAGUGUGGAUGUUUAGCAAGUUCAACUACCAGUCUACACCGAGUUCAGCAGUGUAGUUUGCUUCCUUUAAAAUUCAGUUAGUUCACCUCGGCCAGCAACUCCCGCGCCAAAGCCGCUGUAAGGGCGUACAGGACGGCGACAUGUUCGAGGACUGCGACUGGUGGUAGAUACAACUAAAUUCAGGAUGUUCUUAUGCUCUUUUCUUUUUAAGUGCGUUCAAUAAAGUCAUCUUGAAAAUGCUAAAAGAGAAUUGCAGUCUUCUCCCUCAACAAAAGUUUGGAUUCUAAAGGCCAUUGAUAAAAAAGCUCCGGACGCCUCCCUUCGAGAUCCGGCCGCCUUCCCCCUGAGGUCCCAUGGACGCACCGCCGCCGCCCAACCCCUCCUUCCGCAAGGUAACGCUCUGGGCCGCCCUCCUAGCCGCGGUGGCCCUGCUGGCCGUUGGCGGCGGAAGCUGGGUGGCGGGUGCUGGCAUGCUUCUUCUCCGGCAAGGACGCCAUGCUACACCGGCGCCGCCACACAUCUUCGGUUCUCGCUAGUAUAUUUCCUGUAGCAGUUCUUCAGUGCACACAAAAAAGACUAGCAUUUCAAUUACUAUCAAUUACUAAUUUCUUCAGUUCAGUUCAAUUACUGAAA